This 419-nucleotide ribosomal RNA is filed under the name bacterium. Its description in RNAcentral is "partial 16S ribosomal RNA". It matches the Rfam family "Bacterial small subunit ribosomal RNA", at positions 355 to 776 of the family's 1533-position model. The record is from RNAcentral.
UGGGGGAUAUUGCACAAUGGGCGCAAGCCUGAUGCAGCGACGCCGCGUGGGGGAUGAAGGCCUUCGGGUUGUAAACUUCUUUUGCUCUGAACAAGGCGCACUUUGGGGUGUGUUGAGUGUAGGGGUUGAUUAGCGCCGGCUAACUACGUGCCAGCAGCCGCGGUAAUACGUAGGGCGCGAGCGUUGUCCGGAAUUAUUGGGCGUAAAGGGCUUGUAGGUGGCUGGUUGCGUCUGUCGUGAAAGCUCAUGGCUUAACUGUGGGUUUGCGGUGGGUACGGGCUGGCUUGAGUGCAGUAGGGGAGGCUGGAAUUCCUGGUGUAGCGGUGGAAUGCGCAGAUAUCAGGAGGAAUACCGGUGGCGAAGGCGGGUCUCUGGGCUGUUACUGACACUGAGGAGCGAAAGCAUGGGGGGCGAACAGG